Molecule: ribosomal RNA, 246 nt
Filed under: uncultured bacterium
Lineage: Bacteria
Description: partial small subunit ribosomal RNA
Rfam family: Bacterial small subunit ribosomal RNA
Source: RNAcentral
AGAAUCAACGCUGGCGGCGUGCCUAACACAUGCAAGUCGAACGAGAAAGGGGAGCAAUCCCUGAGUAAAGUGGCGCACGGGUGAGUAACACGUGACUAACCUACCCUGGAGUGGGGGAUAACUGAGGGAAACCUUAGCUAAUACCGCAUAACACCUACGGGUCAAAGGAGCAAUUCGCUUUGGGAGGGGGUCGCGGCCGAUUAGUUAGUUGGCGGGGUAAUGGCCCACCAAGACGAUGAUCUGUAU